Molecule: unclassified non-coding RNA, 419 nt
Filed under: uncultured fungus
Lineage: Eukaryota; Fungi
Description: partial contains 5.8S ribosomal RNA and internal transcribed spacer 2
Rfam family: 5.8S ribosomal RNA (bases 1-133)
Source: RNAcentral
UGGCUCUCGCAUCGAUGAAGAACGCAGCGAAAUGCGAUAAGUAAUGUGAAUUGCAGAAUUCAGUGAAUCAUCGAAUCUUUGAACGCAUCUUGCGCUCCUUGGUAUUCCAUGGAGCAUGCCUGUUUGAGUGUCAUGAAUAUCUCAAAUUCUUAUCUCUUUUUCUUCGAGUUAACAAUUUGGACUUGGGGGUCUUGCAAGCGAUUGGUCUUGCUCUCCUUAAAUUCAUUAGCUGGAUUCUUCUAGGUGUCUAUCCGGUGUAAUAAAUUAUCUACAUCGCGUAGUUCACAUGUCAAAGUAUUACCCUGACUUAACAUCAGUGUCGUAGUCUUGAUUAUAAUGAAAUGAAUUCGCUUCUAAUCUCACGUUUCGUGACAUAACUCUCAUCAUCUGACCUCAAAUCAGGUAGGACUACCCGCUGA